CGAAAUAAUAGAAAUUCAACGUUUCUUGCGAGAAGUCUAUCAAGCGCUGUGUUUUCAUUCCCGAUUUCAGUGUUAAAAAUUCAAAGUGAUGCAAUUGGUAAUUGCAAUUUGGUGAAGAAUUCGGUUGGCUUCAUUUUUCGAGCGCAUGCUACUUAUUUUUCUCGCUGCUUUCAUUGUUUCCGAGUAUUUAUAUAUUAUUAACAAAUUAUUAUUGUGACUGAGCUGAAACGAGUCUUCUACGGUGGAGCAGUGAAAUUAUGGCAAUUUCAAAACAGUGAAAUUUAAUGUGUAAACUCACGACUUAUGUGGUGAAGGUAGUGGCAAGAAUGAAACUAUUGAAAUUAUAAAUGUAAUUCAAAGAGAAAAUUUAAGCAAUGAAAUAAAAAGUGCAGUGAAAAAAAUACGAAACCAAACAAUGCAGCUUCAGAAAAAUAAUUUGUACAAUUAUUUAUAUUAUUAUAUUGUGUUGUAAAGUCAGUAAAAUUCUAAGUGGAAUUGAAAAAGUUUACUUAUAAUUUUAUAUAGUUGCAAUAUGCAUAGAAUGCAAGUAACAAACGUUAGAAGAAAUAUCUUUAUUUUCCUUAUUCUGUAUUCAUCGCUGCAUCAUGGAAAACUGACAAAUGCAACAAAUGAUAUUGAUAAAAAACCCAUUGAAGCGGAAUCUUUAACCGACAGCGUAGUACCCAAUGCCAAUCCGACGUUUAAUGAUGGGGUACCGACUGUGACAACAGCAAUUCCGGGGAUACCUCCGCCACAAGUGAACCUUAAUAAGUGCUGUCGGUACAAUGAACACAUGGAUAUGAAUAAAACUUGUGUAAUGGGCAAUUCCAAGUUGUGGGUGCCUUUGAUAUAUCGUAUUUUUCAAAAAAGAUAUCAUAGUCCUCAAGGUGGAAAGCCAAAAUUUAUGACAUUUCAGGAAAAUGUACGUCCAAUUGUAUAUGUGGAUCAUAAUAACUCCAGGGAGGAUGUAUCGAUGGUGAAUGAUACAAAAGAAACAAAACGAAGUUGCACUGAAGAAGAAUUGGAACUUUUCUCGGCUGGUGGAAAUUGGUUAAUAUUUUCUAAUGGUUCAUUAUUUUUGGGUGAGAGGAAACAAUUUAUCGAACCCCAGCGAUAUUGUGUUGAUAGAAAUGUCGCACUAGUCUGCUUUCCUAAAGAGCAGAAUACUCAGCAACGAAUAAAGAUAAGGAAAUGCUGCGGUUGGAAUGCAAUUUACGAUGCUACAAAUGAAACUUGCAUAUUUCCCACCAGUAAUGAUGGUAUUAGUACACCUGAAUUGCCUUUAAAUAAAAGCUUGUACGAGACAAUAUACGGGUUUCCCACAUGCCAUCAUAAAGUUGUACCAUAUGCCAUUGCGGGCGAUUGGAACGAAAACCAAAUGGAUGACGAAGAUGGAAGUCUAAAAUUGCCUCAUAAAAACAUAUCUUCUGGUGAUUAUUGCCUUGAACAUUUUCGCGAAAAGGGCGUAAUUAUUGCAGUUAAAAUAUUCACAUGCCUUCAUCACUUUUCUACCGAAGCACCUGCUAAUGCUAUAGCGGCUGUUCGUAGCACUACUAGUAAUAUGGUGCAAGCAGCUGCUCUUAACAUUGGAAUUGUUAUUUCAGUAGUUUUUCUUGCUGCUACGUUGAUAGCUGGCUAUAUGAUGCCCUCAGUUCAUCAUAUGCUUCAUUGGCGUUGCCAGAUUUACUACGUUUUCUGCUUAUUUGUUGGAGAUUCAAUACUCGCCUACACACAAUUAUCCCACUCAUUGGAAAAUGGUUCAUUCACCUGCCUUUUGCUUGCUAGCACAAUGCAUUUCUUCUUUCUAUCUGCUUUCUUUUGGCUGAAUACAAUGUGUUUCAAUAUUUGGUGGACUUUUCGCGACUUUAGACCAAGUUCUCUUGAACGCAAUCAAGAACUGCUACGCUUACGACUAUAUUCGGCGUAUGCUUGGGGCGUGCCCUUAUUGAUAAGCGCAAUUGCUUUUACAGUAGAUCAUUUGCCAGAGACACAGUUAUUACAACCAGGAUUUGGAGAACGUAGUUGUUGGUUUAGCGGCGAGCAUUUAUCAAUUUUUGCAUACUUCUUCGGCCCAAUUGGACUUUUGCUGUGUGCUAACAUUGUACUUUUCAUAUCCACUACUCAUCAAUUAACAUGCGGCUUGUGGAAGCGAGACGAUGUCAAAUCGACUACUGAAAAAACCGCACUGGGGAAAGUAUGUUUAAAACUAGUCGUGGUAAUGGGCGUUACCUGGAUAGCCGACGUAAUAUCAUGGUUAGUUGGAGGACCCCAUUCUGCGUGGUUUUUCACCGACAUGAUAAACGCUCUGCAAGGAGUGUUUAUUUUUAUUGUGGUUGGUUGCCAACCACAAGUUUGGGCCGCUUGUAAGCGUUUUUGCUGUCCCCGUUCGCGACAAGAGAUUACGAACACAACGAAUGGCGUACAGCAUUCAAGUUCUUCACAAGGACUACCAUCGGUCGGAGGAUAUGCAGGUGGUGAAAUUACACAGAAUACAUCAGUAAAUACCACGUCUAUAGGGGGUAGCCAGCAGACGCAAACAAAAGUACCGAUGGAAACAGUAUGUUAAGUAUUUCUUCAACGAAAGCACAAUUUCAUUUCACAGCGUCGGCAGUUUAUUCACACCGAUAUAUGUAUGUAUGCACAAUAUACCAUAGCAGCUGGACGACGGUGAGCGCGUCGAAUGCCGAAGAUCAGAUCAUUGCAAAGCAGUGAUUCCACAACAAUUACAAUAACAAAAACAAUGACUAAAGUAAUUACUACAACAAAAACAAUAGUAUUAACGUAAGCAAUAGCCAGCAACGCAGAUCGACGCACAUUGCAAGAUACUCGCAGACAAGCAGACAGUAUUGCAAAAACAAAAAGAUAGAGAAAAGCCAACCAGCGAAACCAAAUUGGAUAAAAAAAAGAAGAGGGAAAAAAUAGAACAAAAUGAGAAAACAACUACAACGAAUAAGUGAAAAAGAAAUUAUACUAUGUACGUACAAGUAUGUAAGUAAUUGACAAAGCUAAAACGAAGCUGCCUCUAUAAAGAAAAAUCGCGGCGAACAUUAUUAGCGUAUAAUAGCUAUAGCUGUAGUCGUGGCAACGCAGCAGGAAGCGCAGAUAUGUGGUGGGGUGGUUGAAAAUUGCAAGCAAGAAUUAUUAUAUUCAGUUUGAGUAACGAUUUCACGAAUGUAAAGUAUGCCUAUCAAAGUACUUAAAAGAUUUCAUGACCAUCAGACGGCUGCUUCCCUAUUCUUUCCUGCCUGCAAAAGAUUGACGAAUUGCCAUUGGUAAACUAUUCUUAUGCUAUCCCUAAUAUUUUUAUUUUCCUCACAAUACAAAUUGUUUAACGCUUUAAGACUACGAUAUUUAUAAUGCUACGCUAAUAGACUCUAUUUAUGAAACUUUACCAUAUACAGCGGAAUUUCGAUAUGUCAUACGGUUAACCAACUAAACCACACACGUACCACAUAUGUAUUUUAACCACGAGCUCAGUUUGCACAAUAAAAAUAUUUGAUUUGCCUACAUACACAUAUAUACAACAUCAAUGCAUUUAUAUUAUUUUAAGCCAAAAUUUAGCCGUAAAAAUUGUUUUUUU
Molecule: RNA transcript, 3580 nt
Organism: Bactrocera neohumeralis
Lineage: Eukaryota; Metazoa; Arthropoda; Insecta; Diptera; Tephritidae
Gene: mthl1
Gene name: probable G-protein coupled receptor Mth-like 1
Exons: 3
Source: RefSeq, a predicted model, not a curated record